AGCGAACGCUGGCGGCAGGCCUAACACAUGCAAGUCGAACGAACCUUUCGGGGUUAGUGGCGGACGGGUGAGUAACACGUGGGAACGUGCCUUUAGGUUCGGAAUAACUCAGGGAAACUUGUGCUAAUACCGAAUGUGCCCUUCGGGGGAAAGAUUAAUCGCCUUUAGAGCGGCCCGCGUCUGAUUAGCUAGUUGGUUGAGGUAAUGGCUCACCAAGGCGACGAUCAGUAGCUGGUCUGAGAGGAUGAUCAGCGACAUUGGGACUGAGACACGGCCCAAACUCCUACGGGAGGCAGCAGUGGGGAAUCUUGCGCAAUGGGCGAAAGCCUGACGCAGCCAGGCCGGGUGAAUGAUGAAGGUCUUAGGAUUGUAAAAUUCUUUCACCGGGGACGAUAAUGACGGUACCCGGAGAAGAAGCCCCGGCUAACUUCGUG
This 434-nucleotide ribosomal RNA is filed under the name uncultured bacterium. RNAcentral's name for it is "partial 16S ribosomal RNA". It matches the Rfam family "Bacterial small subunit ribosomal RNA", at positions 29 to 507 of the family's 1533-position model. The record is from RNAcentral.